AAGCAUGGGCGCGAGCCUGUGUGAAACGGUCCGCUAGUGCAGAUCUUGGUGGUAGUAGCAAGUAUUCAAGCGAGAACCUUGAAGGGCGAAGCGGGGAAGGGUUCCACGCGAACAUUGAUUGGGCGUGGGUGAGUCGUUCCUAAGCCGAGUGGCAAUUGCUAAGUAGCGGCGAAAGGGAAGCGGGUUGAAAUUCCCGCACACGGGUGUGGAGCGCGGUGACGCAAAAUGGGGCGAACACGCUGGCGACGGCGCUGGGCAGAGUUGUCUUUUCUGUUUGACCGAGUGUGCGGGCUGUGUGGAAUCCGCUUGUCGGGAGAAACACGCUCGCACGGGCAGAGCGCCGGGGCUUUUCCGGCGUCCAGCUCGCCGUCGACGGCCCUUGAAACUUUGCCUGCUGAUUUAAGAUCCACGCCGUGGCGUACCGAUCACCGCAUCAGGUCCCCGAGGUGAACAGCCUCUGCUCGAUAUGAACAAUGCAGGUAAGGGAAGUCGGCAAAUUGGACCCGUAACUUUGGGAAAAGGGUUGGCUCUAGUGCUGCGUGGGAGAGGUUGUCUGUGUGUGGGGGCGGAGGGAGGGCCGGCUUGGCGCGGUAGCCCCGUAAGGGGAUACUGUUCUGGGCUGCUCGCUCACUGUUUCCGCCGCGGACGACGCCCACGGCAUGCAGCAGACUAGAACUGCAACGGGCAAA
RNAcentral lists this ribosomal RNA (689 nucleotides) under Agissea teruruhau. RNAcentral's name for it is "partial large subunit ribosomal RNA". It matches the Rfam family "Eukaryotic large subunit ribosomal RNA", at positions 1406 to 2127 of the family's 3401-position model. The record is from RNAcentral. Lineage: Eukaryota; Rhodophyta; Florideophyceae; Peyssonneliales; Peyssonneliaceae.